UACGUAGGGCGCAAGCGUUGUCCGGAAUUAUUGGGCGUAAAGAGCUCGUAGGUGGUCUGUUACGUCUGCUGUGAAAACCCAGGGCUUAACCCCGGGUCUGCAGUGGAUACGGGCAGGCUAGAGGUAGGUAGGGGAGAAUGGAAUUCCCGGUGUAGCGGUGAAAUGCGCAGAUAUCGGGAGGAACACCGGUGGCGAAGGCGGUUCUCUGGGCCUUACCUGACGCUGAGGAGCGAAAGCGUGGGGAGCGAACAGG
This 253-nucleotide ribosomal RNA is filed under the name uncultured bacterium. RNAcentral describes it as "partial 16S ribosomal RNA". It matches the Rfam family "Bacterial small subunit ribosomal RNA", at positions 524 to 776 of the family's 1533-position model. The record is from RNAcentral.